GUCUGUUUGAAGGUAUAAACAGUCUAGCCUGCCCACUGAUAAAGUAUUAAAUGGCCGCGGUAUUCUGACCGUGCAAAGGUAGCAUAAUCGUUAGUUUCUUAAUUGGGAUCUUGUAUGAAUGGUUGGAUGAAAGAAAAACUGUCUUUAUAAUUAAAAUAGAAUUUAACUUUUAAGUGAAAAGGCUUAAAUGUAUUAAAGGGACGAUAAGACCCUAUAAAGCUUUACACAGUUAAAUACUAAGUUAAAUUUUAAUGAGUUAUAAAGAUUUAGUGUGGAAAUUGUGUUUCAUUGGGGCGAUGAAAGUAAAAUGUAUAAUAACUGCUUUAUUUUCCAGACAUUAAUACAUGAGUAAUAUAGAACUUAAAAGAUCCUAGAUAAAGAUUUAGAGAUUAAGUUACUUUAGGGAUAACAGCGUUAUUUUUUUUGAGAGUUCUUAUCGAAAAAAAAGUUUGCGACCUCGAUGUUGAAUUAAAAUUUCUCUAUAAUUGUAGGUGUUAUAGAAGAAGGUCUGUUCGACCUUUAAAUUUUU
Molecule: ribosomal RNA, 529 nt
Filed under: Grapsus albolineatus
Lineage: Eukaryota; Metazoa; Arthropoda; Malacostraca; Decapoda; Grapsidae
Description: partial 16S ribosomal RNA
Rfam family: Bacterial large subunit ribosomal RNA
Source: RNAcentral